Heterocephalus glaber (naked mole-rat) is the source of this 7586-nucleotide non-coding RNA. Lineage: Eukaryota; Metazoa; Chordata; Mammalia; Rodentia; Bathyergidae. The record is from RefSeq and is a predicted model, not a curated record.
AGAGGACGCAUCUUCCCAGAAGACCCCGGCAAAUCCGAAGUCGAGUUUUUAUUGGUUGAGUCGAUUAGGUGGGAUUUCUGAUUGGAUUAGGCCCGGGAUCAGAUCCCAUCCCCGGAAGUGGGAGUGGUUCUGCUCUCAGUCUGGGUCUCGAGCAGCUGUGUGGUAGGACUGUGGAACGGGUAGCGGCCGCCAGCUAAGUCCUUUACACUCUCCGUGCCCUCCGCGCCCUCGGCUCUCCUGGGCCCAGGCGUUCUGUUGAGGUUUCCGGGGUCUCCACCGAGCCAUACCCUCUGCGCUCACCUUCACGGCGUAAGCCACGUGGAGCUGACGUCCUGAGGGCGUCGGGCGGUGGACCAGGCGGUCCUAGGAGAGAUAGGCUGGGGGCCGCUGCCCCGAGCCCAGCUACACCGCCUGGCGGUUGCGGUUCUUCUACUGUCAGCCGCGCUAGGGCACAUCUGGAACCAAAGCUGCAUUUCACUGAGUGUUAAGAGCAGCAGGGCCGGAGAUUUAGCUCGGUGGUUCCGUCGCCUGCCUCUCAAGCGCAAGGUCCCGAGUUCGAUACACGGUGCCAAAAAAGAACAGCAGGCUCCACAGACAGAACCAUUCACUGCUGGGACCUGGAAAAUGUAAAGUGUACAUGAAAAACAAAACAAAAGCCUGUUUACAAAAUCCCCAGCUUCAUCUGCAGGUCGAAGCCGAACAGUUUAACCUGUCCCCUCUGGGCGUCCCGGGGCUCCCACCCCCUACCCGCCUUAGACCUCGGUGGUUGGGACGUUUUGGGGACGAGGGGGAAGGGCUAUUCAGUAUAGCCCACCUGGUUCUGGCAGGAAGGCGACAGCCUGUGUUAAGACACAGAGCUCGGUGGGCCGGGGAUUUAGCUCAGUGGUUUCGCCGCCUGCUGCGCAAGCACAAGGACCCAAGUUCAAUCCGGGGUACCAAAAAAAAAAAACAGAGCUCGAGGCGGGGAUGGGCGUCUUGGCAGUAGUAGUCACCAGAAUGUCUUUACUGUAUGUAUAAUCGCCCCGGAUAGUGCUGAGAGUUCACUUUACAGCAUCUAUACGCUGCCCAGGGAUGGACAUGGAACCGGAGCCGACCCACUUCCAGGCCUGGUAGGCUGGUGUAGAGCUGCUCCCCUUCCUUCUGGUGUCCUAUCCCCUCUUCAUUCCUGAGAACUCUGGGACGGAUCGCUAUUCCUGAUUUUAUGGAUGAAGAAGUGAAGAGACAGAAAUUAAACAGCCAGCCUGGAGUUACAGAGGCCUUUCAAGCCUAGAAGUGGUGAAUUUCCUGGCAGGACCUAAGAGCAACAGCUGCUUCUGAACUGGGGCCCCAACAGUCCAGAGAACAUGGAUGAGCCCAACUUGGGUGGAGGACAGAAACCUUACUGGAAAGAGGACCUACACCCUAGCCGGCUGCUGACAGCUACCAUCUCUACCCUGUGAAGCCAGAUCCCUUAGGGCACAGAAAUUAUCCUCCUGCUGGCGCACUUUCCAGAUCAAGGUGUAUAGGGAGCCAGACCUGAGCAGGACUGAGCACUGGAUUCCAGUUCUGGGUCACAGAACCUCGCUCUGCACCAUAAGGAAUUCAGGCGUUGGUGCAAACCCACAAGAAUGGCCAAGGAAGCACUUUACUCACACACACUCGAAGAUUAGAAGAAGAUUAGAAGAAAACCCCGUGAGUGGAUUAACUGUGUACGCAAGUUCUGGAAAUGAGACCAAAUGUGUGGUGGACAUGGACCAAGCCCUGCCAGCCUGAGGAGCCGCACAGGCCACUUCCUGGUCCCUUGUUGAAGGGCGGAGCCCAAACGUUCCCGCCAAGUUUAGGGUCCUGUCCUGGGACUAAUUUUGCAAGCAUUAACCAGCACUUCAUAAGAAUGGAGCUGGAGGGAGAGCAGGAGGGGAGGUGGGGGAGGUAGAGCACGCAGUGGGCUGCAGCACAGGGAAUGGGCAGGAUCUGCUUGUGUGGAGCCAGUGGGCUGGUAGCACGGAGCAUAUCACUCCUGCACCCUAGGGUUGCAGGCACCGGGGACCCAUGUCCAGCUCUCGCAGGCCCCUGGGGCAGCUCUGAGGACACAAAGCAGCCACAGAGAGAAACGCAAUCUGUGCUGUGAGCUCAGGCCCCCUGGGAAACUCAGACAUGUAGAAGAGACAGCCCACCACCAGGGGCCACCUCUUGACACCCGAAUUUGAGUUCAUUUGCAUCUCUGGCCCCAGGGUGGCCCCUGACAGGCUGGGUGCUUCUGUUGGGGUGGGGCAGGAGGGUCUGGAUGGAUGCCUGGAACGGGAUGGGGCGAGGUGCCCUGACCGCCUGUUCUGCAUGGCGAGCUGGCAAGGAGAAGAGGGUGUGGAGCAAAUGCAGAGCAGGGGCUCAGCCAGGGAGGGUGUGGGCCGUGGGCUCUAAAAAAGGUUUUCUAAAAGCACACAUCAGGGGUCAAGGGGGAGCUUGUCAGGGCAGGGUGGGGCAUCUCCUGACAGCCUGUGCCAAGCCCCGGUCCAGAUGACCUUGAGGUUCGGGGAGGGAAGAGAAGGAUGGGAGGAGAGGGGCUGUGGAUGGUUCCAGGGGUCAGAUAACAAGCAGUCUUGGAGGUCAUGGAGAAGAGACUGGCAGUGUACCCUAAAUCCAGUAGGAAAGACACCUCAGGAACCUUUAACCAGAGGGAUGACACGGUGUAAUCUACGUUUGUAAAAGAUCCCUGAGGGUAAAGAAAGGGUCAUAGACCGUAUUAGGAAAGACAGGACCACUAGAAGCGAUCAGACCAGUCCUGGGAUGAAGGAGAGGGCUGCGGGUAUGGAGGUGGGCUGUGGGCUGGAUUCUGGGCACUGAGUCAGCACUGUCACCUAUCUACCAGGUGGUGUUUCUGGCUCCUUCAGAGCCCCAACCCCCUGCCCCCAUGCCCAUCAUCCUUCCCAUUGAUCAAAUGCGAGGAUUUCACAUUCAUUGUGUCGUUUAAGCCUCAUGGUUUUGCAGCCGGUUCAGGAUGCUGUAAUGAACCACUGAAGACUGUGUUCCUCAGCAACAGUUAUUUUUCACAGUUCUGAGGUGGGGUAUCCCGUGGUCAAGAAGUGGGUUCCGUCUCAGGGGAGGGUCACUUCCUGGUUUUCAGAGGGCCGCCUUCUUGCUAUGUCCUCUGUGCUAGUCAGCUCUUCACAGCUGUGACCAAAUCUUUGAGAGAAACAGCUUAAAGGAAGAAAGGUUUGUUUUGGCUCCCAGCUCAGAGGUUUCAGUCCAGGACCAGCCAGCUCCAUUGCUUUCAGGCCUGUGGUGAGGCAGAAACAUCAUGGCGGAAGGAAAUGUUGGAAAGCCGAGAAGAAGACAGAGAAGGAGCCAGAGACAGAGAGAAGAAGGGGCCUGGACAAGAUACACCCUUCAAAGUGUGUCAUUAUUCACAAAAGAGAACCCAGAGAGCUCCCUGCAAAGGUGUGCUUCCUCCCCAGGGACCUCUUCCCUCCCGCAGUGGGCCACCCCUUCAUAGCCCAUUCAUCUGCCAGCUCAUAACGCUGCUAGUGCCUUCACGAUCCAGGCACCUCUGGAAGUUGCUGCCCUGGAACAGAAUGGCAGGGAGCUCUCUGGGGUCUCUUUUGUAGUUAAUGGACCUAAUUCCACUCAUAAGGGUUCUAUCUUUUUGACCUAAUCACCCCCUCCAAAAGCCCACAUCCCAAUACUAUCACAUUUGGGGGUGUUGUGGUUGAGUUCCAGAAUGUCCCCCAAAACUCAUGCACUCACAGGUGGGGCUUUUCACAGGUAACUGGAUCAUGGGGUGGGGGGCUAAUGCUUGUCAGUGGGUUAACCCACGGAUGCACUUACAGCUGAAUAUGCUGUUGGGAGGUGGGGCCUGGUGGGAAGAGGUGGGGCCCUGGGGUGCACCCUGGAAGUUUGUGUUCCCUUCCUCCCUUUUCUCUCUGCUUCCAGCUGACAUGAGGUGAGCAACCAUUUCUCUGGUGAAGCCUGCUGACCAUGCAUGGACUGAGACCUCUAAGCCUGAGCCAACAUAAACCUCUCCUUUAAAUUGUGGGUAUUGUGUCUCAGUGAUGAGGAAAGUGACUAAAUGGGGCUUAUGGUUUAAACAUAUGGAUUUAGAAAAUCCAAACAUUCAUUCCGUAUCAGUCCACUCUUGCUCCCAUUUAAGUCCUUUUUGCAUGGAAAGUGCAUAUUCAUUUCACCCUAUGCCUCUCCACAGUCAUAACUCAUUCCGGCAUCAGCUCUAAGCACUGAAGAUCAUCUAAAUCAGAUAUGAAUGACACAUAAGGCAGGAUUUGUCUGAAGACAGAACUCCUCUCUCUCCAUUUGUGAAACUAUGGAACCAAACAAGUUAUGUGCUUUCCAAAUCCGGUGGUGGGACAGACAGACAGAAGGGAAGAUAGGAAGGAGAAAAGAGGGUCCAGUGCUAUCAGGCAAGUCUCACAAGACCUUAGGGCUGGAGAAUGACCCUCACUUUACCUCCAGACCCCAGGGCCUUUGGUCCUGGCCCCAGAGCUCUGCCAAGCAGGAGAACAGCCCAUGGCUUGGGGCAAAGUUUGCCUGCCUAUUGAAAGUGAGUCGUUGGCCUCCCUGCAAGGAGGCUGCCCUGAUGACCUCUGAGUCUCCUUCAAGGUCAGUUUCUGCUUGUCUGGAAGGAGAGUGCUUUGAGAGCUCUGAGGUCUUGUCCUGUGAAACCUACAGGUCAGAGAGCUGCUUCCUGGCCCCCACAUCCCAGUGCCCAGAAGGUGGGAGUAGCCCAUCAGGUCUGAGGUUCACAUUCGUGGUAAUCUCUUUACUAAGAGUCACUUGGGUACACUCUUAAUGUUCUCUUCUGAUUAUACAUUUGAUACAUUUCAAUUAUACCUUUUUUUCAAUAUGGAUAGAUGAGAAUUUUCUGGAUUUUGAAGUUUUAGUUCCUUCUUUUUGCUUAAUAAUUUUGUCCUCAAGCCGGUCUUUCCUUGCAUUCAAUAUCAGCAGUCAGGAGGAAUCAAGCCAUUCUUCCAACAGUUGGCUUAGAAAUCUCCUCCACUAAAACCCCAGUUUCAUCAGGGCUCACAAAUCCACCUUCCAGGAAGCACUCAGGAACACAACUCCGGCAAGCUCUCUGCCACUUUGUAUCAAGGAUGUCUUUCUUGCUGUUUCCAGAAACACUUCCUUCUUUCUCUCCAAUACUUCACCAGAGGGUCUGUAUCAUCCAGACUGCCACCGACUGUCUGCACCUGGUUACUUGGACAUUCUCGGAGAAGACCAAGGCCUUCCUGUAUCCCUCUAUUCUUCACUAGAAUCACCUCAAAACCCUCUUUGCCCUCUUAAAGCUCAGCUUCUUCUAGCGUGCACCUCCAAUCUCCAUGAGCACCUUCCAUGCCACAGUUGUAUUUUCCCAGCACCACUCCUGCUACUGGCUGGAGUGGUGGCCAGUGGCCCUUUUCACGCUCUUGCUCUCUUGUUCAAGGAAUUGGAUGAAAUAACCAAUGAACAUAAAAGUUUAACAUUUAUUUAAAGGCAAACAAAAGAAAGGUAAAAGAAGAAGAAAAAGAAGUGCUCAAGAAGAAGUGCUCUGGAGAGAAGACAUACCCUGCAUGCAGGCCAGGCCACAGCAAGAACAAGGGGGCAGUGGUGGCAAGGUCCGUCUGCUGUCUUUGAUGUCUUUUGAUGUCAGGUCCAGACAGUCAGUGCGAAGCCGCAUCUCCACGGAGAUUUGCCAACUCUCUGUGAUUGAUGGGUCAUGCCGGGUUGUCCAGGCUCUUGGCCAUGCCCUAGUCUCCUGCUUCACUCUUGCCUCCUAGUAGGUUCCCUGUCAUAGCCAGGCUACCAUGACAAAUGACCACUGACCAGGUGGCGUUAAUGACAAACACUUGCUUCUUAUGGUUCUGGAGUCCAAGAAGUCCAAGUCAAGGUGCUGGUAGAACCACUGUCUGCUGAAGGCUUUUCCGGUCCACAGAUGGCUGCGUUCUCACUGCACCCUGAUGCUGUGGAGACUGACCGCUCCCUGGGGUCCUUUUGAUAACACCACUUAUCCCAUACAUGAGGGCCCCAGCUCCACUGCCUAAGGUCAGUGGGUGGGAUCAGCACAUGAACUCUGGCAGGACACAAACCCUCGUCCUGUAUGCACUGUACCCAUGAUGCACCAUGAUGGUUCUCUCACUGGUCAGAACACCAAGCCCCUUCUCCACUGGUGUCACCUAACACUGCUGGAAAUGCACAUUCUCAGGGUUUCAGGGUCUACUGAGUGUGUGUGUGGGUGCUCUGGGAGCCUCUGGGAGGUGGAUCCAUGCUCAGGUUCUGAACCCCUUCUUAGAGCACCCCCCCACUUCACAGAUGAGACAACCAUGGGCCAGGGGCAGUGCUGGGGUCAGGACCCAGAACUCACACACAGAUGCAAAAAAGCUAAGAGCAAGACUGGCACAGAUAGCAAAGCAACCCUAGUACUUUAGUGAGCUCACUAGUAAGGAGCUCAGGAUGCUGCAAACUCUGACUUAAAAAGUAGAGGAAUGGUGCCCCGGUCACAUUGAAAUAAGUUUGGGGACAGAGAUAUGAUGGGUUGGUUAAGAUCCUUAAGGACAAUAAUUUUCCUACAGGACAUCUGCAUCUUGGGGUAGACAGAUUCUCUAAACUACCAUGCAACGUCAGUGACUCACCUCACAGAACAGUCAGUGGCAAGUAGAAAGUGAGUCCCUGAGGUUGUGUAGUGAUCCCGAGGAGUCUGGUUAAAGGGUGCCCUGCAUGGCAGUCCAUGGUUACACCAGCACCUCAGGCCCAAUUCUGCAUUUACAUGCUUCUUCCCAACACCUCCCGCUGUAGACAGCCUGCCUGUGAGCGCCUGACCAGGGCACAUCUGGGCCCCAGCUGUGUUCCUGAGGGCACCAUGGCCCAGGGGCAAAGUUGGGGGUCAGAAUCCUAGAGCCACUGCAGGAGAGAGGCUAUAACCUUAUUUUGUUGUUUGAUUCUCCUAGAUUUUCCACAGGGACCAUUUGGGAAACUUUAAAGUAUUAAGGGGGGGGGGAGCCUGUUUCUAUUAACAUUGCCCCCAGAGCAAUAACAGCUCUGCAAGUUUCAAAACAAAAAUAUUUUUCUGAGUGCUGAACAAUGCAGCCAUCAGAGGACGAUGUGUCACGGCUGGGCAGCAGGCUCCGCAAACAGGCUAUUAUUAGUUCUCCCACGACCCAGAGCCCUGGUUUACACACCCUGACUGGGCCACACUUCCUGAAACUAGCAAAACCCUCUCUAAUUAGUCUGUUAAUAGAAACCGGUUGGGAGCCCACUUAUUUCUGUGUCCAGUUUUUCCUUCCAAUCUCUUAGAUCCAUUAAACAUCAUAUAGCUGGAGGAAUCCAAUGAUUUUGUUAACAACAAUAACAACAAAAAAACUGACCAGGUUUUAACAACCAGAGUGAAAAACAGCAAUCACUUAGCAAUCUUUCCAACUCAAGUAUGAAAAAUAUUAUGGUGUUUAUUCUUGGUAAACCCUUUGGUGCUGUAAACAGUUUGAGGGGCUGCGUUGAUUAUGGAGAAGAUGUGGUUUUUUUAUUAGUACCUGUUUACUGUAUGUAUUGAAUACUUUCAUUGGGGUAGUUGGUACAUGUAUGUGACACAUCUUAAUCCUUUUUAAGUCCCUUUCCCUCCCUUUUCUCCC